CACUUUUAAACUUUCAAACUUAUUUACAAUGACUGUGUGUAAACUUUAUUUGUUUUUACCUUCUUGAAGUCACAAUUAUAGCAUGACUGGGAACCACACUAGUGGAUCUCGAGGGGUGCCUAACACCUUCCCAUUGGGAUAAUCUCUAAGCCCUUACUCGAGGUUUGGUUUUCUUCUUCUCAAAAUGUUCAUCUCUUUAUAGUGCAAAGGCAUAUGCACUAUAAUCAUUAGGUGGCAAACUCUCCAAAUUCAAAACCCAAUUCUUACAAGAAUAAAGAGUUGUCC
Molecule: long non-coding RNA, 285 nt
Filed under: Nicotiana benthamiana
Lineage: Eukaryota; Viridiplantae; Streptophyta; Magnoliopsida; Solanales; Solanaceae
Description: long non-coding RNA (NBEN_LNC027070)
Source: RNAcentral